GUGGGGAAUAUUGGGCAAUGGGCGCAAGCCUGACCCAGCAACGCCGCGUGAGGGAAGAAGGUUUUCGGAUUGUAAACCUCUGUCCUCAAUGAAAAGAGUAAGAUGGUAAUUGAGGAGGAAGCCCCGGCUAACUACGUGCCAGCAGCCGCGGUAAUACGUAGGGGGCGAGCGUUGUCCGGAAUGAUUGGGCGUAAAGGGCGCGUAGGCGGCCUGUUAAGUCUGGAGUGAAAGUCCUGCUUUCAAGGUGGGAAUUGCUUUGGAUACUGAUAGGCUUGAGUGCAGGAGAGGUUAUCGGAAUUCCCGGUGUAGCGGUGAAAUGCGUAGAGAUCGGGAGGAACACCAGUGGCGAAGGCGGGUAACUGGACUGCAACUGACGCUGAGGCGCGAAAGUGUGGGGAGCAAACAGG
RNAcentral lists this ribosomal RNA (407 nucleotides) under uncultured bacterium. RNAcentral describes it as "bacterial SSU rRNA". It matches the Rfam family "Bacterial small subunit ribosomal RNA", at positions 354 to 776 of the family's 1533-position model. The record is from RNAcentral.